AGAUUGAACGCUGGCGGCAUGCCUAACACAUGCAAGUCGAACGGGAGUAGCAAUACUCUAGUGGCGGACGGGUGAGGAAUACGUAGGAAUUUGCCCUUAAGUGGGGGAUAACCCGGGGAAACCCGGAUUAAUACCGCAUGACCUCGAAAGAGCAAAGUGGGGGAUCGCAAGACCUCACGCUUUUGGAGAAGCCUACGUCGGAUUAGCUAGUUGGUGAGGUAAUGGCUCACCAAGGCGACGAUCCGUAACUGGUCUGAGAGGAUGAUCAGUCACACCGGAACUGAGACACGGUCCGGACUCCGUACGGGAGGCAGCAGUGGGGAAUAUGGACAAUGGGCGCAAGCCUGACUCCAGCAAGUGCCGCGUAGUGUAGAAGUAGGUCCGUUCGGGUUAGUAA
RNAcentral lists this ribosomal RNA (397 nucleotides) under uncultured soil bacterium. Its description in RNAcentral is "bacterial SSU rRNA". It matches the Rfam family "Bacterial small subunit ribosomal RNA", at positions 26 to 428 of the family's 1533-position model. The record is from RNAcentral.